This 24-nucleotide non-coding RNA is filed under the name Arabidopsis thaliana (thale cress). Lineage: Eukaryota; Viridiplantae; Streptophyta; Magnoliopsida; Brassicales; Brassicaceae. The record is from RNAcentral.
AUGGGUGGUCCAUGUCCAUUUAAU